GGUUGUAAAGCUGGAAGACACAGUGUGCGGUAGGAAAUACCAGGGAAAGGGGUGAAUCCUUCUCACCCCAGGGUCCUGCUGUCCUCUGCUAUGUUACACCCUCUCUUGCAGACUCGGCCAAACCUCUUAUGGGAGGAGGAGUGACUCUCGGAGCCAUGCCAGACCUGACUGUGCCUUGCUAUGGGACGAAAUGACUGGAGACGUGAUCAGCUUGGGGGCCUAGUGUGGCCAGAAGAGGAGCCUGGACCAUUGCCAGCAGCAAAGCCAAGAGCUCUAGGUAUGCAUGUGAGUCUGUAGUAAGGAGGCCUGAGUGGGCUAUAGGGAAGUCUGUGUGGGUCAGAGAAGGGAGGUGAGUGGAUGAGCUGUGUGAGAGGGCAGCACACCUCAGGACAUGCAGCAUAAGCGGCAUUGCUGGAGACCUGGGCAAUCUUGCCUCUGAGGGAGCUCUGUAGCAGCAGGGGACUGAAGCUGAGGAUAGAGGCAAUGAUCCUGGGUGUCCCCCAUGGCCAGGGUCUGGGUGGCACUGAGCUGGACAACCUCUUCACCCCCUCAUUGGGGUUGGGCCAUCUGUACUGUGCUGGGUCUGACUGCAGGGAAAACAGCUCAACUGUGAGAAAAAGCUGCAAGAAACCUUCGGCUUGUGAGGACCAGACUUUAGCCGGGAGGUCCUGGAGACAGACACAAGGCUUCCUGCAUCCUUUCUGAUAGGUGCUUUCCAAGGGUAGCCACAGAAAGCCCUUAAGGUUACAAAACAGCUGAUGCAGGUUGAUGUGCUGGAGAUGCAGACAUCUCCAAACUCAUCUGAAUGGAGCUGCCUCCUGGCUAGAAGAUCUCUCUUUGUGCAAUUACCAGGACAGAUCUGGCAAGAUGGAACCUGAGCCCAUGCUUUCCCUGUGCGCAAUGACCAGUGUAGGGAAGAAUCACCCUUCUUCACUGAUGCUCAUCCCAUUCUCAAUGUCUCCGUAAAAUGUUUCUGCUUCAGCAGAACAGCAGGUUUGCCUGAAUUUUCAGUGUUAACACUGCCAUGAUGAUGUUUUUACCCUUGCGCAGGAUAUGCACUUGCUCUGCAUGUCAGGAGCAGGAUCUCAGAGUAUCUCAGCAGCGACAGCAUAAUCCAGGAGUACCAAAUUGGCUGCUUCUCCAAGAAGUGAACCAUGGGCUUCACCUUUACCGUGGAGAUGCUUAUUAACAAAUAUGUAAAAGAAUAAAAAUUGGGCAGAAUGCU
Molecule: long non-coding RNA, 1225 nt
Organism: Harpia harpyja (harpy eagle)
Lineage: Eukaryota; Metazoa; Chordata; Aves; Accipitriformes; Accipitridae
Exons: 5
Source: RefSeq, a predicted model, not a curated record